RNAcentral lists this ribosomal RNA (1550 nucleotides) under Enterococcus faecalis DENG1. RNAcentral describes it as "bacterial SSU rRNA". It matches the Rfam family "Bacterial small subunit ribosomal RNA". Lineage: Bacteria; Bacillati; Bacillota; Bacilli; Lactobacillales; Enterococcaceae. The record is from RNAcentral.
AGAGUUUGAUCCUGGCUCAGGACGAACGCUGGCGGCGUGCCUAAUACAUGCAAGUCGAACGCUUCUUUCCUCCCGAGUGCUUGCACUCAAUUGGAAAGAGGAGUGGCGGACGGGUGAGUAACACGUGGGUAACCUACCCAUCAGAGGGGGAUAACACUUGGAAACAGGUGCUAAUACCGCAUAACAGUUUAUGCCGCAUGGCAUAAGAGUGAAAGGCGCUUUCGGGUGUCGCUGAUGGAUGGACCCGCGGUGCAUUAGCUAGUUGGUGAGGUAACGGCUCACCAAGGCCACGAUGCAUAGCCGACCUGAGAGGGUGAUCGGCCACACUGGGACUGAGACACGGCCCAGACUCCUACGGGAGGCAGCAGUAGGGAAUCUUCGGCAAUGGACGAAAGUCUGACCGAGCAACGCCGCGUGAGUGAAGAAGGUUUUCGGAUCGUAAAACUCUGUUGUUAGAGAAGAACAAGGACGUUAGUAACUGAACGUCCCCUGACGGUAUCUAACCAGAAAGCCACGGCUAACUACGUGCCAGCAGCCGCGGUAAUACGUAGGUGGCAAGCGUUGUCCGGAUUUAUUGGGCGUAAAGCGAGCGCAGGCGGUUUCUUAAGUCUGAUGUGAAAGCCCCCGGCUCAACCGGGGAGGGUCAUUGGAAACUGGGAGACUUGAGUGCAGAAGAGGAGAGUGGAAUUCCAUGUGUAGCGGUGAAAUGCGUAGAUAUAUGGAGGAACACCAGUGGCGAAGGCGGCUCUCUGGUCUGUAACUGACGCUGAGGCUCGAAAGCGUGGGGGAGCAAACAGGAUUAGAUACCCUGGUAGUCCACGCCGUAAACGAUGAGUGCUAAGUGUUGGAGGGUUUCCGCCCUUCAGUGCUGCAGCAAACGCAUUAAGCACUCCGCCUGGGGAGUACGACCGCAAGGUUGAAACUCAAAGGAAUUGACGGGGGCCCGCACAAGCGGUGGAGCAUGUGGUUUAAUUCGAAGCAACGCGAAGAACCUUACCAGGUCUUGACAUCCUUUGACCACUCUAGAGAUAGAGCUUUCCCUUCGGGGACAAAGUGACAGGUGGUGCAUGGUUGUCGUCAGCUCGUGUCGUGAGAUGUUGGGUUAAGUCCCGCAACGAGCGCAACCCUUAUUGUUAGUUGCCAUCAUUUAGUUGGGCACUCUAGCGAGACUGCCGGUGACAAACCGGAGGAAGGUGGGGAUGACGUCAAAUCAUCAUGCCCCUUAUGACCUGGGCUACACACGUGCUACAAUGGGAAGUACAACGAGUCGCUAGACCGCGAGGUCAUGCAAAUCUCUUAAAGCUUCUCUCAGUUCGGAUUGCAGGCUGCAACUCGCCUGCAUGAAGCCGGAAUCGCUAGUAAUCGCGGAUCAGCACGCCGCGGUGAAUACGUUCCCGGGCCUUGUACACACCGCCCGUCACACCACGAGAGUUUGUAACACCCGAAGUCGGUGAGGUAACCUUUUUGGAGCCAGCCGCCUAAGGUGGGAUAGAUGAUUGGGGUGAAGUCGUAACAAGGUAGCCGUAUCGGAAGGUGCGGCUGGAUCACCU